Molecule: long non-coding RNA, 1450 nt
Organism: Salarias fasciatus (jewelled blenny)
Lineage: Eukaryota; Metazoa; Chordata; Actinopteri; Blenniiformes; Blenniidae
Exons: 4
Source: RefSeq, a predicted model, not a curated record
CCUUGUAAACGAGGAUUCAUCGUGGAUCGCUUUGUAUGCCGUACAUGUAUACACUCCGUUUAAUACGAUUGUUUACAAUCGGAUUGAAAAAAAACACCCAUGUAAACUGGGCCACUGAUGUUUAUUCAGCACCCCGGAAAACGCUGCUGGUUCAGUAAACAUGGCGAAGGAACAUGCGAAGCCCGGCAGCUGCUCUGUUGUCGGCUGCACUAGCCAGCACCGCAGUCUGUUUUUGCCGCCUUUGUCUGAGGGUUUGAGGGUCCAGUGGAUUCACUUCAUUUUCGAGGAAGACGCACCCGCAAGAACGCCUAAAAAGUUGUAUAUGUGCGCUCACCACUUCACUCCGGACUGCUUUCACGAGGGCCAGUUUACAUCAGGAUUCGCCAAGAAGCUGAAGCUAAAGCCUGGAUCGGUUCCAGCUGUCCGUGACCAAGCUACAAACGUGGAAGCUGCCAGCACAUCAACUGCAACUACAGAUGUUCCUGCAUCGAGGGAUGCUGCAUGCCAGACUGACCCACUGGAGACCCGUUCUGGAGGCACACAGCUGUCCUGGAGGACUCUACAGUCUCAUGUCAGAAGUAAAGGUGUCCAGGCUACUGUGUCCUGCUAGGAUGUUGGUGUUGGGACAUCCACUAGAGAUCCUUUUUAUUUAUCAUCAACACCAGUAAAGAAACCUUCAAAGAGAUCUCGUCUCAACCUGGACGAGGAGCAGGAGCGGGAUUCAGAUCCAUUACAGGACACCUCUUCAGUGGCAUCUUCAAAAGGGCAGGACUCCACCUAUGACCAUUCAAACUCUUUGACAUUUCCUUUGACUCUGUCAAUAUGGUUUUAACUAUGACAAUAUGACACAUUUCGCCGGCAUGCCAGAUCCUUCAUUGAGCCUGCAGUCAUUCGCCACUGGAAGACACUGCAGGAUGUGAUGCUGCAGCGGCUCAGUCAGGAGGACAAAGUAAUCGUUGGUGGCGACAUGAGGGCAGACUCUCCAGGUUUUUAUAUUUCACUGAAAUUAAAGACUCUACCUGGGUGCCAUGUUAAUUUUUUCAACCGAGACAUCUGUUUUGGAAAGAACCUUCAACACACCAAAAACAACCUUGUGAAAACAGUAAAUCAGAUAAAGUGCCAAACACCAGGACGUAUUUAGGAAAAAACUCUGUCAUUGUAAAAUUCAAAAAACAAAACAAAAACAACAGUUUCUUUGUGCAUGUCUUUUCUGAAACAGGGUAUGUUGCUGAGAUGAUGGACCUCAUUUUUGAAGAAAUCUUCAAGGAUCCGGCUCCAUACACAGAGGCAGUCCUGGCCAUCCCCAUUCCAGAGGACCUGACUGCACAGUUCAGCGGCCUGACACAGAGGAGGUCAUUGCCAGUCAUAGGCUGGCCCCAUGUUGUGGGUUAUAUGUAAAGUGUGUGAUGUCAAUAAAUGCUUGUCUACAGAAGUGACUCUGUGAUUACAU